RNAcentral lists this ribosomal RNA (473 nucleotides) under Haliotis scalaris (staircase abalone). Its description in RNAcentral is "partial 16S ribosomal RNA". It matches the Rfam family "Bacterial large subunit ribosomal RNA", at positions 1854 to 2571 of the family's 2925-position model. Lineage: Eukaryota; Metazoa; Mollusca; Gastropoda; Lepetellida; Haliotidae. The record is from RNAcentral.
GGACCUGCCCGGUGACCUAAGGGUUAAACGGCCGCGGUACACUGACCGUGCAAAGGUAGCACAAUCACUUGCCUUUUAAUUGGAGGCUGGUAUGAAUGGUUUGACGAGGGCUGAGCUGUCUCUUCUGGAAUAUUUAAAAAUUAACUUCUAGGAGAAAAGGCUUAGAUUUAGCUGAGGGACGAGAAGACCCUGUUGAGCUUUAGUGUGGAAUAAAAGGCUUUGCCCUAUUUUAGGUAGAGGGCCGGAAUUUAUUUUUACAUCUUUAGUUGGGGUGACUGGGGAACAAUAAGUAGCUUCUCUGUUUUUAUUGAAUUGAAUUCGGUUUACUGACUGGUGAUCCAGCAUUGUUGAUUAUCGGAAAAAGUUACCACAGGGAUAACAGCGUAAUCUUUCUGGAGAGUUCACAUUGAAAGAAGGGUUUGCGACCUCGAUGUUGGAUUAAGGUGUCCUGAGGGUGUAGCAGCUUUCGUUGG